RNAcentral lists this long non-coding RNA (1048 nucleotides) under Marmota monax (woodchuck). Lineage: Eukaryota; Metazoa; Chordata; Mammalia; Rodentia; Sciuridae. The record is from RNAcentral.
GUCGCCAUUACAGGAUGACGCUGGCUCCGCUGUGGUCUGUGACAAACAACUCCUUAUCUGGGAGAGUUGGCACAUGAUUUUUCACCACCCUGUGAGAAAGCUCCACGCGGCAGCUUUGCAUUGGGGCUUGGGAUGCUUUAUUAAGGCUGGGAGGGGCAUCAGAGAGGGAGAAGAAGAAAUAUCAAGGGCCUGAAUAAACUGCUGAAAAAGAAGAUUCCUGAGUUGCGUCUUCCUUGCGGGCAAGGGGUCGCGACAAGUGGUGCCGAGACCCGGGAACCAGAACUUUCAGCAGUCAGGGGUGGUGCACCGGUUAGUCCCAGAUUUUAUGAUUCCAGAAAUGCCUCCCACAUCAUCGGGGAGUAUCCAUCCGGAACCUGGUCCAUGGAAGCAGAAAACUUGAUCCAGUCUCAACUAACUCAGAUUGCUGUUUUGANACACUAGUGCUUUUCUAUCGCCUUAAAGUCCGUGCCUUUCUUUCAGGGUGCUGUCAACUUGUUUGUCAUUAUAAACAGCCACAGUUCAGCCUCAGCUAUCCCCCUUCGUCCACCAUCGUCACGAUACAGGAUGCGAGGCAAGGCACUGCACUUGAGUGAUCCUUGACGUGGACCUCAAGGAGAGCAUGUCCUAUUGCAUGCGGGUUAGACGCGUUCACGCCCCGCCCCACGAAAAAAGGCGUCGGCUGAUAUGGCCUCAGAUCUGGGGAAGGGCCCUCCUUAGGACUGAGUCAUACUAUGCAGCCACUUCUGCACAGUGGGAUAGGACCUCUACUCUCGCCUGUAUUGUUUUAAGAAAACAGAAAAGGGGGAACUGUGGUGAGCCGCUUCUGCCGUUUCUGCAGACUAUGGUCGCCAUUACAAGAUGACGCUGGCUCCACUGUGGUCUGUGACAAACAACUCCUUAUCUGGGAGAGUUGGCACAUGAUUUUUCACCACCCUGUGAGAAAGCUCCACGCGGCAGCUUUGCAUUGGGGCUUGGGAUGCUUUAUUAAGGCUGGGAGGGGCAUCAGAGAGGGAGAAGAAGAAAUAUCAAGGGCCUGAAUAAACUGCUG